This 448-nucleotide ribosomal RNA is filed under the name uncultured bacterium. RNAcentral describes it as "partial 16S ribosomal RNA". It matches the Rfam family "Bacterial small subunit ribosomal RNA", at positions 354 to 794 of the family's 1533-position model. The record is from RNAcentral.
GUGGGGAAUUUUGGACAAUGGGCGAAAGCCUGAUCCAGCAAUGCCGCGUGUGUGAAGAAGGCCUUCGGGUUGUAAACUGCUUUUGUACGGAACGAAACGGUCCUGGUUAAUACCUGGGGCUAAUGACGGUACCGUAAGAAUAAGCACCGGCUAACUACGUGCCAGCAGCCGCGGUAAUACGUAGGGUGCAAGCGUUAAUCGGAAUUACUGGGCGUAAAGCGUGCGCAGGCGGUUUUGUAAGACAGGCGUGAAAUCCCCGGGCUCAACCUGGGAAUUGCGCUUGUGACUGCAAGGCUGGAGUGCGGCAGAGGGGGAUGGAAUUCCGCGUGUAGCAGUGAAAUGCGUAGAUAUGCGGAGGAACACCGAUGGCGAAGGCAAUCCCCUGGGCCUGCACUGACGCUCAUGCACGAAAGCGUGGGGAGCAAACAGGAUUAGAAACCCCGGUAGC